RNAcentral lists this ribosomal RNA (253 nucleotides) under uncultured bacterium. Its description in RNAcentral is "partial 16S ribosomal RNA". It matches the Rfam family "Bacterial small subunit ribosomal RNA", at positions 524 to 776 of the family's 1533-position model. The record is from RNAcentral.
UACGUAGGGGCCUAGCGUUGUCCGGAAUUAUUGGGCCUAAAGCAUCCGUAGCCGGCCUUACAAGUCCUCCGUUAAAUCCAGCUGCUUAACAGAUGGGCUGCGGAGGAUACUAUAAGACUAGGAGGCAGGAGAGGCAAGCGGUACUCAGUGGGUAGGGGUAAAAUCCGUUGAUCCAUUGAAGACCACCAGUGGCGAAGGCGGCUUGCCAGAAUGCGCUCGACGGUGAGGGAUGAAAGCUGGGGGAGCAAACCGG